AGUGAACGCUGGCGGUAGGCCUAACACAUGCAAGUCGAACGGCAGCACAGUAAGAGCUUGCUCUUACGGGUGGCGAGUGGCGGACGGGUGAGGAAUACAUCGGAAUCUACUUUUUCGUGGGGGAUAACGUAGGGAAACUUACGCUAAUACCGCAUACGACCAACGGGUGAAAGCAGGGGAUCUUCGGACCUUGCGCGAUUGAAUGAGCCGAUGUCGGAUUAGCUAGUUGGCGGGGUAAAGGCCCACCAAGGCGACGAUCCGUAGCUGGUCUGAGAGGAUGAUCAGCCACACUGGAACUGAGACACGGUCCAGACUCCUACGGGAGGCAGCAGUGGGGAAUAUUGGACAAUGGGCGCAAGCCUGAUCCAGCCAUACCGCGUGGGUGAAGAAGGCCUUCGGGUUGUAAAGCCCUUUUGUUGGGAAAGAAAAGCAGCAGGUUAAUACCCCGCUGUUCUGACGGUACCCAAAGAAUAAGCACCGGCUAACUUCGU
This 491-nucleotide ribosomal RNA is filed under the name uncultured bacterium. RNAcentral describes it as "partial 16S ribosomal RNA". It matches the Rfam family "Bacterial small subunit ribosomal RNA", at positions 29 to 506 of the family's 1533-position model. The record is from RNAcentral.